ACUACAGGAUUCCUUAGUAACUGCGAGUGAAGAGGGAAAAGCUCAAAUUUAAAAUCUGGCAGUGUUUCACUGUCCGAGUUGUAACCUAGAGAAGUGUAACCUGCACUGGACCGUGUAUAAGUCUCCUGGAAUGGAGCAUCACAGAGGGUGAGAAUCCCGUCUUUGACAUGGACCACCAGUGCAUUGUGGUUGUGCUCUCAACGAGUCGAGUUGUUUGGGAAUGCAGCUCUAAAUGGGUGGUAAAUUCCAUCUAAAGCUAAAUAUUGGCGAGAGACCGAUAGCGAACAAGUACCGUGAGGGAAAGAUGAAAAGAACUUUGGAAAGAGAGUUAAACAGUAUGUGAAAUUGUUGAAAGGGAAACGUUUGAAGUCAGUCGCGUUGGUUGGGGAUCAGCCUGACAUUGUUGGGUUUACUUCCUGGUCGACGGGCCAACAUCAGUUUUGACUGCCAGAAAAAGGCCAAAGGAAUGUGGCACCUUUGGGUGUGUUAUAGCCCUUGGUCGUAUAUGGUGGUUGGGACUGAGGAAAGCAGCGUGCCGAAAGGCCGGGUUUCGACCACGAUCACGCUGAGGAUGUUGGCAUAAUGGCUUUAAGCGACCCGUCUUGAAACACGGACCAAGGAGUCUAACAUGCAUGCGAGUG
This 641-nucleotide ribosomal RNA is filed under the name Amanita orsonii. Its description in RNAcentral is "partial large subunit ribosomal RNA". It matches the Rfam family "Eukaryotic large subunit ribosomal RNA", at positions 64 to 692 of the family's 3401-position model. Lineage: Eukaryota; Fungi; Basidiomycota; Agaricomycetes; Agaricales; Amanitaceae. The record is from RNAcentral.